Molecule: transfer RNA, 69 nt
Filed under: Loxodonta africana (African savanna elephant)
Lineage: Eukaryota; Metazoa; Chordata; Mammalia; Proboscidea; Elephantidae
Rfam family: tRNA
About the family: Transfer RNA (tRNA) molecules are approximately 80 nucleotides in length. Their secondary structure includes four short double-helical elements and three loops (D, anti-codon, and T loops). Further hydrogen bonds mediate the characteristic L-shaped molecular structure. tRNAs have two regions of fundamental functional importance: the anti-codon, which is responsible for specific mRNA codon recognition, and the 3' end, to which the tRNAs corresponding amino acid is attached (by aminoacyl-tRNA synthetases). tRNAs cope with the degeneracy of the genetic code in two manners: having more than one tRNA (with a specific anti-codon) for a particular amino acid; and 'wobble' base-pairing, i.e. permitting non-standard base-pairing at the 3rd anti-codon position.
Source: Rfam by way of RNAcentral
GCACUGGUGGUCCAGUGGUAGAACCCUUGUUCCAUGCAUGAGACCAGGGUUCAAGUCCCGGCCAGUGCA